AGUGAACGCUGGCGGCAGGCCUAAUACAUGCCAGUCGAACGGCAGCACAGUGGCGCUUGCUCCAUGGGUGGCGAGUGGCGGACGGGUGAGGAAUACAUGGGAAUCUGCCCAGUCGUGGGGGAUAACGUAGGGAAACUUACGCUAAUACCGCAUGCGCCCUUCGGGGGAAAGCCGGGGACCUUCGGGCCUGGCGCGAUUGGAUGAGCCCAUGUUCGAUUAGCUAGUUGGCGGGGUAAAGGCCCACCAAGGCGACGAUCGAUAGCUGGUCUGAGAGGAUGAUCAGCCACACUGGGACUGAGACACGGCCCAGACUCCUACGGGAGGCAGCAGUAGGGAAUAUUGGACAAUGGGCGCAAGCCUGAUCCAGCCAUGCCGCGUGAGUGAAGAAGGCCCUCGGGUUGUAAAGCUCUUUUGUCCGGGAAGAAAAGCAUCGGGCUAAUACCUCGGUGUUCUGACGGUACCGGAAGAAUAAGCACCGGCUAACUUCGUG
This 490-nucleotide ribosomal RNA is filed under the name uncultured bacterium. RNAcentral describes it as "partial 16S ribosomal RNA". It matches the Rfam family "Bacterial small subunit ribosomal RNA", at positions 29 to 507 of the family's 1533-position model. The record is from RNAcentral.